Pseudophryne corroboree (corroboree frog) is the source of this 226-nucleotide long non-coding RNA. RefSeq lists it as uncharacterized. The record is from RefSeq and is a predicted model, not a curated record. Lineage: Eukaryota; Metazoa; Chordata; Amphibia; Anura; Myobatrachidae. The transcript has 4 exons.
GACCGCCUCGUUAUUGAUACCGAGCCAGAGGAGGAGGAGGAGGAAAUGGGGGAGCCUUCAGGCCAGCCUGAUGUCACUUACCUGUACGUGGACUCUGAGUCGGAGGAGUAUAUAAUUAUUGACAGUGAGGAGGAAGGGGAGAAAAAGCCCUCUCCCCAACUUGGCCCUACACUGGAACAGGCCGCCGAGGAGGAGGAGGAUGAGUAUGAUGAGGCGGCAUUUAGUG